RNAcentral lists this ribosomal RNA (431 nucleotides) under uncultured bacterium. RNAcentral's name for it is "bacterial SSU rRNA". It matches the Rfam family "Bacterial small subunit ribosomal RNA", at positions 354 to 776 of the family's 1533-position model. The record is from RNAcentral.
GUCGGGAAUCUUGUGCAAUGGGGGAAACCCUGACACAGCAACGCCGCGUGAGGGAUGAAGGCCCUAGGGUCGUAAACCUCUGUCGGGAGGGAAGAAUUCUCCGGGGGUGAAUAAUCCUCGGAGUUGACGGUACCUCCAAAGGAAGCGCCGGCUAACUCCGUGCCAGCAGCCGCGGUAAUACGGAGGGCGCAAGCGUUGUUCGGAAUCAUUGGGCGUAAAGCGCGUGUAGGCGGCUUGGUAAGUCGGGCGUGAAAGCCCGGGGCUCAACCCCGGAAUGGCGCUCGAAACUGCCUGGCUUGAGUCCCGGAGAGGAGGGCGGAAUUCCCGGUGUAGAGGUGAAAUUCGUAGAUAUCGGGAGGAACACCAGCGGCGAAGGCGGCCCUCUGGACGGUGACUGACGCUGAGACGCGAAAGCGUGGGGAGCAAACAGG